UCCCUAGUGGGCCAGAUGGUAAAGAAUCUGCUUGCAAUGCAGGAGACCUAGGUUUGAUCCCUGGCUUGGGAA
This 72-nucleotide transfer RNA is filed under the name Capra hircus (goat). It matches the Rfam family "tRNA". From Rfam's summary of the family: Transfer RNA (tRNA) molecules are approximately 80 nucleotides in length. The record is from Rfam by way of RNAcentral. RNAcentral also lists the same sequence under 1 other name. Lineage: Eukaryota; Metazoa; Chordata; Mammalia; Artiodactyla; Bovidae.